Peromyscus californicus insignis is the source of this 4336-nucleotide long non-coding RNA. RefSeq lists it as uncharacterized. The record is from RefSeq and is a predicted model, not a curated record. Lineage: Eukaryota; Metazoa; Chordata; Mammalia; Rodentia; Cricetidae. The transcript is spliced from 3 exons.
CGGCUCACAUCCGCUUCUGUUCUUCGGAGGGGGUCCGCCAUCAUCAGCCGUGUGUGUGUUCAUUCUUAAGCGGGACUCUGUGAGGCCCUCAGACUCGGUUUCCCACCCUGCUUAGCUGCUGAACCAGACACCAGCAGGCCUAUCUUGCAGCUGAGUCCGCUGAGACGGGACAACAGGAGGAGGAAGGCACAAUGCUUACUCGGUGAGAUGACCACGGAGCCACGAAUUUGUUUUCUUCUACCCAGAUUCAGCUUGUACUUCAACUUUACAUCCAGGUUUCUAGGGAAAUCCCCACUGCUCUUCCUUUGCCGUUUGGUGCUGCUUAGGGGUGACCAAUGGGACUGGCAGGCUCCCCAAACCUUUAUACACUAGUUCCCCAAGUGAGUUCCAAAAGCUAAGGCUGUUUCUGGUCACACUAGAAGAAAAAGGAGGAAAUAAAAUGGUUAUUGUGCAAUAAUAUUAAGAGGUGGGUGAGAAGGGGCUGGAGAGAUGACUCAGUGGUUAAGAGCACGGCUGCUCUACCAUAGGAUCUGAGUUCGAUUCCUACCACCUUCAUGGAGUCUCACAGCCAUCUGUAAGUCCAGUUACAGAGGAUAUAAUGACCCCUUCUGGUCUCUAAGGGCACCAGGUACACAGGUUCACAGACAUACAUGCAGACAAAAUACCCAUGCACAUAUACUUGAAAGAAGUUUUUAAGAGUUGAAUUUAGUAGAGCUGGUCCUCUGAGCUUAGCCUGACCAUCACCGUCUUGGGACGAGCUUCCACGGUGACUGAGCAGAGACCCCAGCUUGCGGCUGGAACAUAGCAGAACUUUAACAAAAUUGAGGGGAUAAUUGACACUGAGUCUGUUGGCACUUUUCUCUUGGGAACAAGGGAGACAGCUAUAGAAAACUGCCCUGCUAGAAUCCAUUAGCCACCACCCCUCCCGGCUCGCUGCCGUAGACCGAUACCUAAGGCUCCCUAAGUGCGUAUAAAAGGAAACAGUUAACCAGGGUGGUCGGACUCGGUGCAGCUGCCCAAGGUUAUGUCCAAUAAUCUGUACGCUGCCUUGAGUUAAAUUCAUUUCUCAUGGUUGAGUCAUUCUUUCAGUGGUUGGUAUUGUCCAAAUUUGGAGAUAGACAACUUUUUCAUCUCCCCAGGAAAUCCAUAUGACAUUUGGUACCCGAUGAUGAAUGUGGUGUGCUGUGUGUGAUGGGAACACCCUGUCAUAGUUUAGUUUCUGUUUUUAUAAAAUAUUCUGACAGGAAGCAGCCUGUGGGAGGAAGGCAUUUAUUCAGUUUAUAAUUCCAGGGUACAGUCCAUCAGGAAGUCAAGUCAGCGGGAACUCAGAACAGCCAUGUCACACAGUCAGAAGCUGAGAAAUGAAUGCAUACAGAUGUGCUUGCUUGCUUGCUUGCUCAGCUGCAUUUCUCCACUCAUAGAGUUCAGGACUCCCUGCCUAGGGAAUAAUGCCACCCACAGUAGGCUGUGACUUCCCAGAUCAGUUAAUUAAGACAGUCUCCCACUGACAGGCCCACAGUCCAACCCGUUGUAGACAGUCCCUCACAGAGACUCUUCCCAUGUAAUUCUAGGUCGUGUCUAGUUGACAAAGCUAGAACAACACUCAGAACUCCUACUGGACUGGGGAACUUGUAGUCCCUGGGUGCCGCGGGUUUGGGGGGCUGCAGUGAGGUGUAGCCGUGGUGGCACGUCCCUACCAUGGGGAGUCAGAUAUGCGGCUGAGGACAAACCAUUGCCUGAAGGAGGAACUCUAACUAGAGGGGGACUUACGGCCAACAUUUUCUGCUUGAUCAUCAGAUGAGGCAUAACAAUUAAAAAGGAAGAUAAGGAUGCUAGCUGGCAUAGUCUACAGCUGGUAGUGUGAAAAGACAAAGGAGUUCAAGUCCAUUCAGGGCUAAAGAGUUUAUCCUGGGAUCCAAAAAAUCAUGGACCCCUUGGGAAAGAGAGAUACAUACUGUGGGGAGCUAGGGACAGGAAGAGGAGAAGAUGAUUGAGAAGUUGAACUCUUGGUUGAAAGAAGAGAAAUAUCUAUAAUCCAGCAUGCAGAUAGGGAAAAUUUGGCAACCCCAAAGUACCCCCUUCUGAUCUAUUAAGAUUAUGGGGAGCUGGGUGGUGGUGGCACACACCUUUGUUUCCAGCACUCGGGAGGCAGAGGUGGGCAGAUACUGGAGUUCGAGACCAGCCUGGUCUACAGAGUGAGUUCCAGGACAGCCAGGGUUACACAGAGAAAUUCUGUCUUAAAAAAUCAAGGGGGAAAAAAAGGUCAUGGGGAAACUUGUAUGCAGUUCAUGGGAAACCCUGGUGGUGUGUCUGCAGGAUGUGGGAGUGUGUGGUGUGAACUGGAGUGCUGUGGAAGAGGUUAUAAUACCCCCAUACAUCCCUCUCACCAUGUCCUGGUUAAUGUUAAAUGCCAACUUGUCACAACCCAGAAUUACUGGGGAAGAGAAUCUCAACUGAGGAAUUACCUACAUCAGGUUGACCUGUGGAAUGUCUGUGGGGAUUUUCUUGAUUGUUAAUUGAUGUAGGAGGGCUCAGCCCAUUGUGGAAAGCACCAUUCCCUAGGAGGGAAGUCCCAGGCUGUAUAAGAAAGGCUAGCUGGGCAUAGUAAGCCAUGCCUGCCAGACAGUAAGCUGCUGGGGGAUAUGUGGUGGUAUUGUGUUCCCCCAAAUAUUGUGCACCCUAAUAAACUUAUCUGGGGUCAGAGACAGAGCAGCCACUAGAUACAAAGGCUAGAAAAUGGUGGCACUCACACCUUUAAUCCUAGCAUUCCAGAGACAGAAAUCCCUUUGGAUCUCUGUGAGUUCAAGGCCACAUUGGAAAUGGCCAGGCAUGGUGACACACGCCUUUAAUCCCAGGGAGUGGUGGUAGAAAGCAGAAAGGUAUGUAAGGCAUGAGGACCAGAAACUACAAGCAUUUGGCUAGUUAAGCAUUUGGCCUGGUUAAGCUUUUGGCUGGUUAAGCUUCAGGCUUUUGAGCAGCAGUUCAGCUGAGAGCCAUUGGGAUGAGGACACAGAAGCUUCCAGUCUGAGGAAACAAGACCAGCUGAGAAGUUGGCCAGGUGAGGUUAGCUGUGGCUUGUUCUGGUUCUCUGAUCUUCCAGUUCACCCCAAUACCUGGCUCAGGAUUGAUUUUAUUAAUAAGAACUGUUAAGAUUCCUGCUACAGGCAUGUCUUUCUGUACGCUGUGAAUAUAUGUUGUUCCCAUUGGUUAAUAAAUAAGCUGCUUUGGCCUAUGGUAAGACAGCUUAGAAGUGGGUGGAAAAUCCAAGGAGAGAGACAGGAAAGAGAAAGGCCCAGUCUGGAGAGACGCCGGCCUGCUGCCCAAGUAGUAACAUGCCAGUAGAUCAGUAAAGCCAGGGAACGUGGCAAAACAUAGAUUAAUGGAGGGUUAAUUUAAGAUAUAAGAGCUAGCUAGCAAGAGGCCUUCCAUAGGCCAUACAGUUUAUAAAUAAUAUUAAGCCUCUGAGUGAUUGUUUUAUAAGAGGCUUCAGGACCUUGGGGCUCAGCAGCACCAGAGAAAACUUUCAGCUACAGAAAGCAACAUCUUUUGUGGUCCCUGCCAGCUUCUCUGGCUGUAAGGUGAAUUCCUUUGUUGUAACGUGUAGAAUGGCAAGCAGGCAUCAUGGAUGCAUUCGUUUCUCUCUGCCUUGACUGUGGAUGUGAUGUGAGCAGUUGUCUCAAGCUGCUGCCACUGUGACUCCCUUAGUGACGGACUGUCUGUUCCCUGGAACUGAAGCCCAAUAAACGUUCCAGUCCCUGCAUUGUUUUUCGGCUAAAGUGUUUUGUCACAGCAACAGAAAGGGAACUAGGACACAUUGCUAGUGUGACAUACAGCAGCAUGGGGACAUUAGUCAGGUAGACAUCGCUAGUGUGACAUACAGCAACAUGGGGACAUCAAUCAUGUAGACAUCGCUAGUGUGACGUACAGCAGCAUGGGGACAUCAGUCAUGUAAGACCACUUAAAUCCUGGGUCUUGACCCUGCAUUGUGUGACCAAUGUUGUGGGUUAUGAACAAUAGUGAAAGGUCUUAGAAUGCACAAAGACCAAAAUUUAAUUCAAAUUCAAAAGUGGUGCUUUUAAGAUGUUUCUGGCCGUGCACACUCUGGCUUUGUCACAUGACUUCAUGGCAGCCUUUGUUCUGAACACACUGUGCACUCUGGAUGUUGCCCUUUGAUCGUACCACUCUGCAUACCAGGGAACAAUGCUUGAAAUUCCACAGCUCAGAUUUGAGGCUACUGCACGUUAGGAAUGGCAGUGUAUAAUUGUACACGAAGUUUUGUGCUCUUAUGGAGACAUGGUUUAAUUACCAAAAAUAAAGACUUGAUAUGUUCCUCGCA